AUUGCUAUAAUGUCACGCCGUUCGAUCUAAAGAAUCUUCGUGAAACAUAUCGGCAGCACCAAAGAGGUGUAUGUAGACGAUAUGUUGGUAAAGAGUAGGACUGCAGAAGAGCAUCUACACAACUUGUCCCUUACGUUGGGCAUACUGAAAGAUUACCGAAUGAGACUAAACCCAACGAAGUGCACCUUCGGUGUAUCUUCCGGUAAGUUUCUC
Molecule: long non-coding RNA, 213 nt
Filed under: Prunus persica (peach)
Lineage: Eukaryota; Viridiplantae; Streptophyta; Magnoliopsida; Rosales; Rosaceae
Description: long non-coding RNA (PPER_LNC000666)
Source: RNAcentral